AAAUAUAAAGUUAUAUCUCCAUAGCACUGAUAACGUGUGGGCUGCUAAUUCAAGCAAUGAACGAACUUCCUGUACAUUUGUUUUAUAUUUAUACAUAGUUUUAUAUUCGUCUGCAUGUGUGUUUGUAUAUUUGUGUAUAUAUGUUUGUGUGUGUGUGUAUGUGAUUGCUUCAUCUCCGUUGAUGAGCCCUUAGAUGACUUUCAGACCGGCUGCUGACUGACAGAUAUUAUUCAAGUUUCUUCUAUAUCUUUACCCUUUGGAAUCUGAUUCUGAAGGAAUGUUUUUGUGAACUAGCAUAUGUCUUUUAAGUCUAGAUAUUGUCUCACAAGUUUUUUGCCAUACGACACAAGUUGUAAGAGGUUGCUGGUGUCCAAGAUCAUUACCUCUCAGAGCAUUAUGAUUUUCAAGUGUCUUCACAUGGUUCACAUAUCCUGCUUUUGGCAACAGAACACGGUCACAACGUUCACUGUUGAUUACAGUUCCAAUUGUUCCUUUGCGACAGACCCUUUUAAGUCCAAAGUGCUGAAUCAUCUUUCCCUCCCAAGCAUUGCAACCAUUCCUAACAGCACCGCUCUAAUUGUUCUAAUCUGGAACAUCAUUUUCCCAAUCACAUUUAUUCAUAUCUAGUUUCUUCAGGUUUUCCUUCACUCAGUCUUUAUACCUUUUCCUUGGCUUAUGUUAUGGUCACUUACCAGAGUUGAGCUCACCAUAAAAAAGACGCUUUGGCAAACACUCGCCUUUCAUUCUAAUAACAUAUCCAGUCCGUCUCAUUUGAGCCAAGAUAACGUGUUGUUCAAUUCAGCUGCAACAUACCAUGUAUAAAACCUCUGUAUGAAACAUUCCCACUUGACUCCCAUGCUGGAGCACCGCCUUUAGUCGAACAAAUUGACCCCAGGACUUAUUCUUUGUAAACCUAGUACUUAUUCUAUCGGACUCUUUUGCCAAAGUGCUAAGUUACAGAGGCAUAAACACACCAACAUCAGUUGUCAAGCGAUGGUGGGGGGACAAACACACACACAUGCACACAUUGAUUUAUACAUAUAUAUGACCGGCUUCUUUCAGUUUUCGUCUACCAACUCCACUCACAAAGCUUUGGUCGGCCCGAUGCUAUAGUAGAAGACACUUACCCAAGGUGCCACACAGUGGGAAUGAACCCGGAACCAUGUAGUUGAAACUCCAAUGUGUGUGAAGAAAGUUCUGACAACAUCACAACAAAUUGGGAGUUAAAACUUGGAGGAGAAGGAUCUCCUGAGAGUGGCUAAGAGGUUAGGAAGCAAUUGGUGGCAAGUAGGCAUUCAAGCUACUGAGCUGAAAAUUGGACUCGAAUGACACUGCAAGACAGGGUUACCUGAUGUUAUAUGAAUGGUUUAAAGGUUGUGAUCCGGAUACACUAAGGGCAGCUCUUGAAGAAGCCGAGUGUUUCACUGCACUUGAAUAUCUAUCAUUAGAUGCAAAGUGAAUAUUGUUGUUUAAUUUCAGGUUAACCUUGACCAAACAAGGGCUUAUGAUCAAAUCCAUUCCAGCCAGGACCAUCUUGUCUUUUUCUUAAGUGUAGACAACUCAGGACUAUAUUGUCCAAUAUGUCCUUCCUUAAAGGGAUAAAGUGUGAAGUGAAGUGGAUUUGGCUAAUUCUAGCAGGUCUAUCUACCAUAUAGAGACCCCUUCAUUGGUUUGGCUCCUUUGUUAGAAAUUAACUUUUGAAAUAAAGAUAAAUUCUGAAAUGUU
Long non-coding RNA from Octopus bimaculoides (California two-spot octopus), 1725 nucleotides. NCBI's taxonomy places the organism in Eukaryota, Metazoa, Mollusca, Cephalopoda, Octopoda, Octopodidae. The record is from RefSeq and is a predicted model, not a curated record.